AUACGUAGGGGGCGAGCGUUGUCCGGAUUUACUGGGCGUAAAGGGUGAGUAGGCGGUUGUAUAAGUCAGAUGUAAAAGGCACAGGCUUAACUUGUGUAAGCAUUUGAAACUGUACAACUUGAGUGCAGGAGAGGUAAGUGGAAUUCCUAGUGUAGCGGUGAAAUGCGUAGAUAUUCGGAGGAACACCAGUGGCGAAGGCGACUACCUGGACCGAUACUGACACUGAGGAGCGAAAGCGUGGGGAGC
Molecule: ribosomal RNA, 246 nt
Filed under: uncultured bacterium
Lineage: Bacteria
Description: partial 16S ribosomal RNA
Rfam family: Bacterial small subunit ribosomal RNA
Source: RNAcentral